UCAUGUCUCCUGCUGACAGUGUCGGCGGUGGCGCUACUUUCUGACCUGUUGAUUCAAAACUUCACAGUACAAGAUGUGUUACGAAAAAUAGUAGUAAAAGUACGAUGUUUCUUACACCGUGAGCACAAGUAAGCAAGUAUGGAACACAAAAAAAACCGUUGGACACUGCUCUUCCACUGUCGUUUCUUGUGUCCCGUCUUUCACUGGGGUUUCGUUCGGCGCUGGAGUCUACGCGGGCGUGUAUAUAUCCCAGAACUAUCAGGUACCACGUGUGGAUGAGCCACAAGAACUAUGGCGAAAGAUAAAGGACUUCGCUGACCAGUACAGAAAGUCGCCCCCCGGUGUCUAGAAUUUCAAUAUUUGUAUAGCUCUGGCUCCAACAUUGCAAUGUGGUGUAUGAAAAGCAUGCUCUGCAGAUGUUGCACAGGCACUUAAGUCUACAGCAAGUGUAAAUACAACCCUGGCCUUUAUUACAGCUAUGUCAUAAAAUGAAUAUUGUAGCAAAUUAAUUUGUUUCAUCAACUUACUUACAUCAUCGUAUUUUGUUAGAAAUGUGGCAUGCAUUUUAUACUGUGGCUGUGUGUAGAAAAAAUUAGUAAUCUGGAAUAAUUAUUUAAAUCUGCUUUUUGAAAUCUGUCUUGCUUUUAAGGUUUCAAUCCAACUGAGCUAGAUUAAAGACACUGAUGUGCUUACAAAUCGUAUUUUGUAGCAUAAACUAUCUUUGAUAAGCAAGAAAAGGGCACGAAAUGAAUCUGAAGGGUGUCACAGGUUUUAGACUAUAAUGCAUCAUGUGUAACAUCAGCAUUUGCUGAUUUACAGAGAUCAGCACAAAUGUAGAUCACAUGGGAACGAUGUCUAAUUCAUCUUGUCACUGGCUAUCCGGAUUGAGGAGCAGCAAUAAUAUGUAUGGUGGCAAUGUUCUACGCAACAUUUACAUAACUGCACACAAUCACGGGUGAUUAUCUACUAGUGCGAUUUGAUUUCCCUUGGAUGUGCCAGAUGACUGGAAUCUGAGCUCUCACCAAAUUUAAGCUGUUCAGAAAUAUUGAGGAGUUAUCGAAUAGGGGCCCCAAAGAAAUAGCAUCGUGGCCACUGCGCAUGCAUUUGGGUUUUGCGUUGGCGACGCUACUUCUCAAAUUUAGUGGGAGCCACAAAGCCUGCCCUAAAGCUUUGUGUCAAAAAAACGUGACUGCACCGACUGAAGUGAUGGCUCUCGGCCAAGACUAGAGUGACUAAGAAUUGGGCAGUGUCAAAAGUGUCGCAGGUCCUAAUUGAAAACUCUUCGCUCCUGCUUGUCCCAGAGUGUGCAUACGCAAAGUGCUUAGGAGCCCCUAUUCAAAAACUCCCUAUUGCUAUUUUUAAAAAGCAGCAUGUGUAUCAACAAAAGACAAGGACACAACUUUACUGUUAUAAGCACUUUAUUAGCAAAACUUGAAAAUUAUACCCAAUUAUUAACUGUGAACAGUGCAUGGUGCCAUAAGGGCUCCCUGUUUUGCAAGAUGCAUGUCUGAUAGGAAACUACAUGAUAUGUACAUAGCACAGCUAUAAUAAAGGCGUACGACAA
Long non-coding RNA from Rhipicephalus microplus (southern cattle tick), 1564 nucleotides. RefSeq lists it as uncharacterized. Lineage: Eukaryota; Metazoa; Arthropoda; Arachnida; Ixodida; Ixodidae. The record is from RefSeq and is a predicted model, not a curated record.